Molecule: non-coding RNA, 2448 nt
Organism: Pelobates cultripes (western spadefoot toad)
Lineage: Eukaryota; Metazoa; Chordata; Amphibia; Anura; Pelobatidae
Source: the annotation of a GenBank genome assembly
UGUCCCAUUCUAAAUAUAAUAAAAAUGAGGCUGAAUUAUUUUCUGUGGGUACAUCUUAAUGUUUCUUUUGGAUAUGAUACUUGAACACAAGGCUAAUGAGCAUUAACAUAUCAAAGAAAUUAACUAAUCAAUUAAGAGGCAGAGACCAUAUGGCUGAAGUGAGCUAGCGAACAUCAGAACUAGACAUUCAGGCAUCUCAAGUGUAAAAUCUCACACCCUGCAGAGCUUGGAACUAGAUAUCCAGGCUUCUCCUGUGUAGAACCUUACACCCUGCAGAGCCUUUGAUUAAUCAAAGAAUCCAUCCAUGUUGCAAACCAUCUGCCCCCUUUUACAUUCCUAUACCAUUUACAUUAUCCCUUCUGUCAUCUGACCUUGCAACCAAGUGGCCAAUUCAUAUAUGCACUACACAAAUUACAUUAAAUGGAAUGGCAAUAUUCUAUAGUGCAACAAUGAAUUAUGCACCCUUCCCCUGAUUUUGCUACUUAACAUUCCUGGUGACUGUAGGCAAGAAUGAAGGGAACAAAGUCUCCUCAUCUCCCUUCUCCCCCUACCCUUAUGCAGUUCAUAAUAUUUCUCUACUAAUUUUAAAUUUACCACAAAAAAAUACAUAUAUAAGGUGAGAGGCGAAUGAUCUCCCAUCCUAAAGCAACCUAAGCCGACACAGUAGUGCCCUGUCUCCUCCAAGAAACCGUGGGGGGUUAUCCGUGCUCACAUCAAAAGUGCAAGACAAGUCAGUACACCCUAAUCCCAUGAAAGCCCAGUGUUAGGGAAUACUGACAUGUCACAAUGUUGUUAACUAGUUAAAAGGACACUAUAGUCACCAGAACAACUGCCGUUUAAUGUAGUUGUUUUGGUCAGUAUAGUCAGUCCCUGCAAGUUUUUGUUGCCAACGCAGUCUUUUCAGAAAAAAGGCAGUGUUUACAUUACAGCCUAGGGACACCUCCACUCUGUAGAUGGCUAUAAGAGGUGCUUCCUGGGGCAGCUCUGCAUGAACAAGCUGAACUUUCCUCAUGGAGGAGAUGCUGAUUGGCUAGGGAGAAGUUCGGCCCCACCUCACUGAUGAUCCCCUGUGGGAAAGCAUUAGAUUCUGAUGAUGUCAGCCAAAGAGGUGGCUUGGGGUCAGGACCUCUGGUGACCUAGAAAUAAAGUAAAAUAUAACCCUUUCUAAGGAGGCAGCGGGUGGGGGGUGGGGACAAGCCACCUAAAAUGGUGUUUUUAACACUAUAGGGUCAGGAAUGCAUGUUUGUGCUCCUGACCAUAUAGCGUUCCUUUAAUGGUUUUAUUAGACCUUUCCAAUACAGUGGGAGGAUAGUGACUGCAAAUCACUGGACACUCUUUGAAACUUUUUUUGUUCUCUAUAAAAAUCCAUAAAUUAUAUUGGAUAACAGAGGUGUUAUUUAAAAAAUAAAAUAAAAUGUAUUUAUAUCCAACAUAUAUGAACACUAGUACUACUCAAUACCUCUCUUCACCAAAACUCUCUCCUGUUAUCCUGCUGCAUCUCUUCAGUCGCCCACUGUCAUGCCAAAGCAUGAGUUAGCAUGGGAUAUGUGUUAUGAGUUGUUUUUGUAUACUUUGGGAUAACAUUUAUUGUAGGCUUUGAUCUAUCACCAGGCCUAACCCAUGAACUGUAACGUUUAGAUAACCAUCACCAGAGCUGGACAUAGGGUGUCAUAAAAGCUAUUGGUGCAUAUGCUCUAACCUUGGGUUAUUCAAAGGACAUAAUUUAAGAAAAUAUGGAGUGGACAAUAAACUGCCAUGCCAAACCCCCCUGAUCCACUCAGAGGUCUGGCCACUUAGAACCAACUAGUUUAAACUACACUGCUCAAAAAAAUAAAGGGAACACAAAAAUAACACAUCCUAGAUCUGAAUGAAUUAAAUAUUCUUCUGAAAUACUUUGUUCUUUACAUAGUUGAAUGUGCUGACAACAAAAAUCACACAAAAAUUAAAAAAUGGAAAUCAAAUUUUUCAACCCAUGGAGGUCUGGAUUUGGAAUCGUAAUCAAAAUUAAAGUGGAAAAACACACUACAGGCUGAUCCAACUUUGAUGUAAUGUCCUCAAAACAAGUCAAAAUGAGGCUCAGUAGUGUAUGUGGCCUCCACGUGCCUGUAUGACCUCCUUACAACGCCUCUGCAUGCUCCUGAUGAGGUGGCAGAUAGUCUCCUGAGGGAUCUCCUCCCAGACCUGGACUAAAGCAUCUGCCAACUCCUGGACAGUCUGUGGUGCAACGUGACGUUGGUGGAUGGAGCGAGACAUGAUGUCCCAGAUGUGCUCAAUUGGAUUCAGGUCUGGAGAACGGGCGGGCCAGUCCAUAGCAUCAAUGCCUUUGUCUUUUGCAGAAACUGCUGACACACUCCAGCCACAUGAGGUCUAGCAUUGUCUUGCAUUAGGAGGAACCCAGGGCCAACCGCACCAGCAUAUGGUCUCACAAGGGGUCUGAGGAUCUCAUCU